Molecule: long non-coding RNA, 868 nt
Filed under: Marmota monax (woodchuck)
Lineage: Eukaryota; Metazoa; Chordata; Mammalia; Rodentia; Sciuridae
Source: RNAcentral
GACCUGUUGGGUCUCUUAGUGUGUCCCUAUAGCCUAGCUAUUCAGGAACAGACUAAGAACUAUUUCAGUGGACUAUUAGGGCCUGGCAUACAUUAAAAGCAUAGUUAUUAUGUUGUCUGGGAGUUUAUAAUCAUUGCAGUUGUCAUCGUAAAUCACUAAAAUUGAGAGGAAUUUCAAAAUAUAUAUCAUAAGCUAUUCAAAAGGGGCCGUUUUUUAUUUGUUUUUAGAUAUACAUGACAGUAGGGUUAGGGUUAGGGUUUGACAUACAUACAUGUGGUGCAACCCAUUACAAUUUUGAUCCUAUUCUUGUGGGUGAACAUGAUGAGGAGUUAUACUGGUUGUGUAUUCAUGGGCAUAGAAAAGUUAUGUCUGAUUCAUUCUAUUGUCUUCCCUGUUCUUAUCUCCCCUCCCCUCCCUUUGUUCUCAUUUAUCUAAUUUAAUGAAUUUCUAUACUUCCCCUCCCCCCUCUCUUGUUAUGGGUUAGCAUCCACAUAUCGAGAGAACAUGUGACCUUUGGUUUUUUGAAAUUGGCUUAGUUCACUUAGCAUGACCAGUUGUAUCCAUUUACUGUCAAAUGCGAUGAUUUCAUUCUUUAUAGCUGAGUAAUAUUCCACUAUGUAUGUAUACCACAUUUUCUUUAUUCAUUCAUUGGUUGAGAGGCACCUAGGUUGGUUCCAAAGCUUGGCUAUUGUGAAUUAAGCUGCUAUAAACAAUGAUGUGGCUGUGUCACUGUAGUAUGCUGAUUUUAAGUCCUUUGGGUAUAAGCCAAGGAGUAGGAUAGCUGGGUCAAAUGGUGGUUCCAUUUCAGAUUUUCUAAGGAAUCUCCAUACUGCUUUCCAGAGUGGUUGAUCCAGUUUGCAGUGAGGUG